GCUUACCAUGCAGUCGAACGGCAGCACGGGAGUAAUCCUGGUGGCGAGUGGCGAACGGGUGAGUAAUAUAUCGGAACGUGCCCAGUCGUGGGGGAUAACGCAGCGAAAGCUGUGCUAAUACCGCAUACGAUCUACGGAUGAAAGCGGGGGAUCGCAAGACCUCGCGCGAUUGGAGCGGCCGAUAUCAGAUUAGCUAGUUGGUGGGGUAAAAGCCCACCAAGGCGACGAUCUGUAGCUGGUCUGAGAGGACGACCAGCCACACUGGAACUGAGACACGGUCCAGACUCCUACGGGAGGCAGCAGUGGGGAAUUUUGGACAAUGGGCGCAAGCCUGAUCCAGCAAUGCCGCGUGAAGGAUGAAGGUUCUCGGAUUGUAAACUUCUGUUAAGUGGGAAGAAAAGCUCGCAAGAGUAUGACGGUACCACUUGAGUAAGCACCGGCUAACUACGUGCCAGCAGCCGCGGUAAUACGUAGGGUGCAAGCGUUGUUCGGAAUUACUGGGCGUAAAGAGAGCGUAGGUGGAAUCAUAAGUUAGGAGUUUAAUCUAUGGGCUCAACCCAUAGUCUGCUUUUAAUACUGUGGUUCUUGAGUAUGGGAGAGGGUGAUGGAAUUCCAGGUGUAGCGGUGGAAUGCGUAGAUAUCUGGAAGAACACCAGUAGCGAAGGCGGUCGCCUGGCCCAAUACUGACACUGAGGCUCGA
Molecule: ribosomal RNA, 700 nt
Filed under: uncultured bacterium
Lineage: Bacteria
Description: bacterial SSU rRNA
Rfam family: Bacterial small subunit ribosomal RNA
Source: RNAcentral